This 93-nucleotide transfer RNA is filed under the name Chloroflexota bacterium. Its description in RNAcentral is "Chloroflexi bacterium (Logan River metagenome) tRNA-Ser". It matches the Rfam family "tRNA". From Rfam's summary of the family: Transfer RNA (tRNA) molecules are approximately 80 nucleotides in length. Their secondary structure includes four short double-helical elements and three loops (D, anti-codon, and T loops). Further hydrogen bonds mediate the characteristic L-shaped molecular structure. tRNAs have two regions of fundamental functional importance: the anti-codon, which is responsible for specific mRNA codon recognition, and the 3' end, to which the tRNAs corresponding amino acid is attached (by aminoacyl-tRNA synthetases). tRNAs cope with the degeneracy of the genetic code in two manners: having more than one tRNA (with a specific anti-codon) for a particular amino acid; and 'wobble' base-pairing, i.e. permitting non-standard base-pairing at the 3rd anti-codon position. Lineage: Bacteria; Bacillati; Chloroflexota. The record is from RNAcentral.
GGGGAGGUCGCAUAGCCUGGUUUAGUGCGCCCGCCUGCUAAGCGGGUUCCGGGGAAUACUCGGACGAGGGUUCAAAUCCCUCCCUCCCCGCCU